RNAcentral lists this long non-coding RNA (1497 nucleotides) under Struthio camelus australis. RNAcentral describes it as "lncRNA (ENSSCUG00000014499.1)". Lineage: Eukaryota; Metazoa; Chordata; Aves; Struthioniformes; Struthionidae. The record is from RNAcentral.
GGAGGUUUGGGAGGUCUUCUCUGCUCUUGAGCAGCAUUGAGGGAGCAUGUCAGCCUGCACCAGUUGUCCUCAGGGAUGCUGAAUUAACCCUGCGUCUGAUCACGAAGAGCAAGUGGCUGAAAGAGCCAUGGGGAUCUCGAGGGCAAGCGGCGUGAAGGUGUCGGUGAAGACAAAGAACAGCGUCAGCCGGAAACGCAAGAGUGAGUCGGAGAAGGGACAGGAUGUGCCGAAGAUGCCCAGAGGAAAGGCCGUGAAGAAGGAGCAGGAGGAAACUCUGGGCAUGGAUCAGGAGCAGCCCGAACCCAUCCUCUGCCGAGGGCCAGCUCCGGAGCAGGAGGGCACCUCAAGGUCAGAGCGCAAGCCCCGGAGAGCAGGAACUGUGGCAGGAAGGAGGAUCCGGGCACCUGAGAUCAGAGUUGGGAAGGUGUCGAGGCAGCGGGAGAUGGGACGGGACGGCGUUAACGAUGAGGCAGCAUCCAUCUGCGGAGAGCCGGAGGACUUGGGGGAGGCCGUUGCGGGCGAAGCGGGUCUGGACACGGAGGAGAGGAGAGCAGGGCUGGGUGCCCGAGACCUGAAGAGGAAACGGGGAGGAAAUGGAGACAAGAAGCAAGAGAGAAGGAAGCGGCGAGAGAUGAGAAAAGACACCAAUGAGGAGGAUGAGUUGGAGGAAGGGGACCUGGGGACACGAGGAGAGGAGCAGGGUGCUGGUGAGGGAAGGAACGGGAGAACGGAGCAGGGAAAAGCCGGGAGGGCAACCAGGAGCGUCAGCCCCAUCCCGGGAAGGAGCGAUGGGGAAAGGACUGGGAGAGGGGACGAGGAGAAAGGGGAUGAGGACAGAUGGGGGGAGCGGGACGGGGCUGGAAAUGGGGAACAGGCAGGGCCGAGCCGGGGGAAGAAAAGGCCGGAGAAGGUGAAGGCGAAGAAGAGCAAAAAGGCGAAAUCAGAGCGGGGGAAGAGCGAGGAGCGGGAGGAAAAGUCAGGAAGGAAAAAAAUUAAAAAGGAAAAAAUUUCAGAAGCGGAGCGAGAAGUAGAAAGGGCAGAAGAGGAACAGGCGGAACAAGUGGGAGGUGGACCAGAAGGGAGUGAGAGGAGAGCUGGGAGAGGGAAGGAAAGCGAAGAUGAAAAGAGAGUCAAGCAGGAGGAGGAGGAUGAGCAAGGGGAUGAAGGACAGGGAACAAUCAUGGAGCUUGGGCAAGAGAUGAAGGAGGAGGGCGAUGUGGAGACAAGAGAAGUGCUGCAGAAGGACAAAAAGCAGAGAGCCAAGGAGAAAAAGCCAAAGGAGGAAACAAAAGAGAAGGGGAAGAAGAGCAAGGAGGUGAAGACCCCGGAGAAAACCCGGAAAAGGAAAUCCAAGGAAGAGGGAGAAGAGAAGAACAGCAAGAAACCUAAAAAGGAGGAAAAAGAGAAAGAAAAAAAGAAAGAAGAGACAGAAAACAAAUGGAAAUGGUAAGUGUCCUGCAUGCUGCAGCUUUUGGCCUCUGGGCAGGUUUAACUCCA